AUCCAGCUGACGAGUCUUAAAUGUAGUGAAACGUGCGUCCUGGAU
This 45-nucleotide non-coding RNA is filed under the name Schistosoma margrebowiei. The record is from RNAcentral. Lineage: Eukaryota; Metazoa; Platyhelminthes; Trematoda; Strigeidida; Schistosomatidae.